AAUCGCGGCCGGCCUUUCCCUCACCCUCCAACUGCACUGCUCACCCAGUGCCUCAAUUUCCCCAAUGGGACCAUUCCCCAACACUCCCAGAUAUCCUUUCCCUCUCACCUGAGCGGAUUUGUUACAGGGUCCGGACUGCAAGAACCUUGCGAUCAGGCAUGUGACAUAAUUAUCCCAGCGAUCACUAAAACUGUAAAUUUGGAUGCAAUUAAGAGAGAAAACUCCACACAUUUAUGGAAAUUUAAGCACAAGUCUCAAUCACCUGAAUAGAGACCACUACGGGGAAUGUCUCAGGCUACACUACCAGCAUCUUUGGACUUUAUUUCCCACUGACAUAGGCUACCAUUGGACUGAGCCAAGGGAUCCCAAUGUAAGAGUUGAGGGAAGGACUGAAGGAGCUGAAGGAAAUUGCAACCCCAUAGGAAGAACUGCAAUAUCAACUAACUGAACCCCUUCAGAGCUCCCAGGGACUAAACCACCAACCAAAGAGUAUACAUGAAUGGGUCCAUGGCUCCUGCUACAUAUGUAGCAGAGAUAGCCUUAUCUGGCAUCAAUAGGACGGGAGGCACUUGGCCCUGUGAAGGCUUGAUGCCCCAACAUAGGGGGAUGCUAGAAGGGUGAUGGAGUAGGAAUGCGUGAGUGAGUAGGGAACCACCCUCUUAGAGGCAAAGAGGAGGGGGAUGGGAUGGAAGUUUGCAGAGGAGAGUCCAGGAAGGAGGAACAACAUUUGAAAUGUAAAUGAAUAAAAUAACCAAUAAAAAUUACUGCAUCUUAUUUUAUUGUUAGAUAGUAAAGAACUUUUCCAUAUCUGCUUUGUCUUAAUAAUAGUGUUAACAAUAACAAUAAAUUAUUUUUAUGCUUUAUAUUCCUUUAUACCGACCUAGUAUGUUUGUUUCUGUUCUGAUUUGGAUAUAAAAUCACCUGGAAGGAUCCUUUAUUUAUUAACGGUUUUGUUCCCAGUUGUUGGUACUAUUGAUAUGUAAUCAGAAUAUGAAGUCCUAGCUUCGUCAAUAGGUUGAGCAGUUUAUGGUUGAGUGGACAGUCUAGACUGCCAUGAUAGAAGGAACUUUGCUCCAUUGCACUGUGUCUAAUAAUGUUCUGAUUUAUUUUGUAAUUGUGCCAUAGAAUGAAACCUCUGAAACUGUGAGCCAAAACCAUUUCUCUUCCUUUAGUAACUUUUCCCCUCAAUUUUUCAUAGUAGUAAAAAAUUGAGGUAUAAUCUACUGAAUUGAUAUUGUCAUAAGUGUUAUGACCACAUAGUAAGUUCUUAAAAUCAGGUAAUUUUUUCUCCAAUUUUGUUUCAGAAUUAUAACUAAUCUACUCUCCUUGUAUGUCUAUAAAAAUUGGGGAAUCAAUUUGCUACAUAUGUGCACUUCUUGCUGGGAUUUUUUUAUUGAAUUCAUAUUAAACGUAUGCCUUGAUUUGAAGUGAAA
RNAcentral lists this long non-coding RNA (1433 nucleotides) under Mus musculus (house mouse). Its description in RNAcentral is "RIKEN cDNA 2810403D21 gene". The record is from RNAcentral. Lineage: Eukaryota; Metazoa; Chordata; Mammalia; Rodentia; Muridae.